Molecule: transfer RNA, 74 nt
Filed under: Pirellulaceae bacterium
Lineage: Bacteria; Pseudomonadati; Planctomycetota; Planctomycetia; Pirellulales; Pirellulaceae
Description: tRNA-Asp
Rfam family: tRNA
About the family: Transfer RNA (tRNA) molecules are approximately 80 nucleotides in length.
Source: RNAcentral
GGCGCUGUGGCUUAAUUGGUUAAAGCACCGGACUGUCACUCCGGAGAUUGCGGGUUCAAGUCCCGUCAGCGUCG